Molecule: ribosomal RNA, 418 nt
Filed under: uncultured bacterium
Lineage: Bacteria
Description: bacterial SSU rRNA
Rfam family: Bacterial small subunit ribosomal RNA
Source: RNAcentral
GACGAACGCUGGCGGUGCGCCUUAUGCAUGCAAGUCGAGCGAAGCUUUUCAGUAGUUUACUACAGAAAAUGACUGAGCGGCGAACGGGUGAGUAACGCGUGAGCAAUCUACCUUAGUUACUGGGAUAGCCCGAGGAAACUCGGAUUAAUACCGGAUAAUCUUAUUACAUCACAUGAUAUUUUAAGUAAAGGUCAGCCGAACUAAGAUGAGCUCGCGUUCUAUCAGCUUGUUGGUGGGGUAAAAGCCUACCAAGGCUACGACGGAUAGCUGGUCUGAGAGGACGAUCAGCCACACUGGGACUGAGACACGGCCCAGACUCCUACGGGAGGCUGCAGCAGGGAAUAUUGCGCAAUGAGCGAAAGCUUGACGCAGCGACACCGCGUGUGGGAUGACGGUUCUAGGAUUGUAAACCACUUUA